ACAGCUCCGUGAUUUCUCUAAA
Molecule: microRNA, 22 nt
Filed under: Macaca fascicularis (crab-eating macaque)
Lineage: Eukaryota; Metazoa; Chordata; Mammalia; Primates; Cercopithecidae
Description: novel_miR4-5p
Source: RNAcentral